Molecule: long non-coding RNA, 1753 nt
Organism: Bos grunniens (domestic yak)
Lineage: Eukaryota; Metazoa; Chordata; Mammalia; Artiodactyla; Bovidae
Source: Ensembl
AUGGAGGAGGUGCCGGGAGCGUCACGUGGAUGGGAGCCCGGUGGGAGAGCUACCCCUUCGGACUGUAGUGACUCACUUUGUUUUGGUCAGUUCCCUACUGAACCCCCAAAGUCCGUGCACAAGGAGGGGAACACCUCCAGACCAGGACAAGGCGCGACCGCUAAAGGAACCCCCAAAUUUACCCCUGGAAUUCCUUUCCCGUGUGAAGUCUUAGCACCACGUCCGGGCGCACGAGCUCAGGCCCCACUGCUGGGUUCACACUGUCGUUGGUUUCGAGGAAGACCCGCCUUUCUCCACAGAGGAGGCCGAGGCCGGGGAGCCCUGGGACGGCAGACAGGAGGGCUGGGGGGCGGGAGAGGGUGUCUGCCACACUGGAAGGCCUGGACCCCCCUCCCAGAGGCCGAGCUGGUCUAUCUUCCAGGAGGAGGAAGUGUCCCCGCGCCGCCCCGGGCUCUUUUCGGAAACAGAGCGGAGGAACUGGCCGCACGUGCCUGUGACCACGCUGUCCGCGCAGCACCAGAGGGGGCAACACCAGCCAUCCAGGUCAAGGCAGCGCUCCAGCGGAAACGCGUGACCCUGACCGGCAGGGCCCUUCCUCUGUCUUCCCCAGCCCAAACGGAAAGAGGAAUGUCAGAGCCAGAGCAAUUUCACAAGGUACAGAGUCUAUGGGCAGGUCCUCCUGUGAUGAUGGAAAAGUUCUGCACAUGUGUCUCCAGUACACACCUGCUGAAUGCAGCCAGUGAGACUAAGGAACUAAACUUUAUAUUUGAUUUAAUGCUGCUUACCCAUCCUGCUCUAUCUUACAGGAAUGCCUUAUUUCUCAAGACUCUCCUACAUUUGAACGAAUGAAUGAAAGAAUGAACAAAUGUUACUAUUAAACCCUGAACACAACUGACACAGAGCAAUGAAAAUAUUUAUGCUGACAAUAGAAAGCACUUAAUUUCACUAUUUCAGGUCAUUAAAAAUACCCUUGUACAAUAUUCUAAAGGAGUUUUCGUUAUUUGAGCAUACUUGUGUUUGUGUGUGUGUGUGAUUUUGGAUGAGAGAAUGAGUGUUUAUUUUGGAUUGGAUAAAAAGUUAUAGGUUUUUCUCCAGGCCACGUUCCAGCCUUCACUGAUCCUACUUUGGAGCUAGAAAGCUAAAUUCCCAUCUGUUAUUAUGAAACUGACUUAAUUACAGAGUCAUGCAAGUAGAAAAAAUCCACAUGUUCUACUAGGGAAUAAGGCUUUUUAUAAGCAAGCUGUUAUGCAAGCAGAAAGGGAAAGUCAAGGCAAAGGGAAUUUACUUUGCACACAUGCUGCACAAGCUGCCCUUUCAGAGCGGGGCCUUGGUGAAGCCUGAGCAUCUUGGGUGCAUGGCGUAUGCAGCUCCAGCAAGGGCUUUCUGAAGAGACCCUCACCCUGGCCCACUUUGCUCCAAGCUCAGCCUGGACCACGGGGGCAGUGAUCAGAGGCACCUCAGUUUGCCUUUAACUAGUUUCCAUCCAUAAAUGUUUUCUGAACAUUUAUUAUACUCAGUAUAACUGGAUGUGAAUUAUUAAAUGUGUUUGAACUCAGAUAAACAAGCUUUGUGCGUUAGAUGAAAGAAUGUGCAUCUCCGAAUAUUUUAUCGAAGCUGUCUGCAAUCCUUUGCAAGUAAAUAUUUUUAUCUGAGUAUUUUUUUAACUUCCACUUUUUUCUCUCUGCCCCAUUCCCCUAUGUUAAUCAACAAUCUCCUUUCAUACUGAACACGGAUUUGUUACCUUAAAUCUAGG